ACGGAGGGUGCAAGCGUUAUUCGGAAUUACUGGGCGUAAAGCGCGUGCAGGCGGGUAGGCAAGUCUGAUUUGAAAACCCGGGGCUUAACCCCGGGAGUGGAUUUGGAACUGCCUAGCUUGAGUAGUUGAGAGGAAAGGGGAAUUCCCGGUGUAGAGGUGAAAUGCGUAGAGAUCGGGAGGAAUACCAGUGGCGAAGGCGACCUUCUGGACGGUAGCUGACGCUGAGGCGCGAAAGCGUGGGGAGCAAACGG
RNAcentral lists this ribosomal RNA (251 nucleotides) under uncultured prokaryote. RNAcentral describes it as "partial 16S rRNA". It matches the Rfam family "Bacterial small subunit ribosomal RNA", at positions 525 to 775 of the family's 1533-position model. The record is from RNAcentral.